RNAcentral lists this long non-coding RNA (562 nucleotides) under Olea europaea (common olive). Its description in RNAcentral is "long non-coding RNA (OEUR_LNC013930)". The record is from RNAcentral. Lineage: Eukaryota; Viridiplantae; Streptophyta; Magnoliopsida; Lamiales; Oleaceae.
UCUACUCCAUUAGGAUCAUUAAUAUGUUCUUUUUGAAAGGGAAAGAAAAGGGGCAGUCUGAACGUAGUUCAUAAAUCAUAAUGAUUAAGUCAGUGGAAGAAUGUCAUUUUGUAGAACGAUGGUAUCAGUUAUUCUUUAUAUUAUAUCACAACUCAGCUUUGGCCAUAAGCAUUGGCCUCUGUCACUAAACAGCCUCAGGCCUUCAGUUCCCCGAGCUGUGAUAAAAACCAUCAUCAGUAUUGCAACUUUUUCCAAAUAUUGACCUAUUUAAGGAACCUUCAUAUCUAGGGCAGCUUAGGCAACAAAUGCAGGAAUGUAGAAAACAAAUAAAAACGAAAACACUAGCANUAUUUAAGGAACCUUCAUAUCUAGGGCAGCUUAGGCAACAAAUGCAGGAAUGUAGAAAACAAAUAAAAACGAAAACACUAGCAUUAAUGUCCCAAGCAACAAAUUGAAAAUAUUAGGAAUUACUUUUAGAAGUACCAAUGACACAAAUUCAAACAUCUUACUUUAAUUUAUAAUCUUUACUACUCAAUUUUUAAAACAAAAAAUGUUGCCAGAC